UAAUGAUGUAAAAUGGUUUAAAAGAAUUUAAUCCUAAUCUAUCUACAAACGAUGUUUUAAAAUAUGUUCAUGCGAUGAAUGGGAUCUCGCGCAUGCCUUCCGCUACAAUCUAAAAAUUUUUUGAAAUUUUCUGCGGCGUGCGAGGGAUCCUAACAUAUCCUUUUUAGGAGCUCAGUUACCGAGGCACUUAGGGCCUCGGGAGGCUUGCUAGCGAUGGUAUUGAUAACAUCUGUUGUUGGGUGAUUGUCGAUUGGCUCUGGCGGCGGUGGAUUAGAGGCUGAAGCAGGCGCUUCUCGGUCCCAUCGAGGGCACACGUAUCAUUCUAGCCACCCGCCUCGAAUGAGUGCUUCAAUUUCAUCCUUGAGCUGAACCCACUCCUCGAUGUCGUGGCCGCAUUCUCAGUGGUAGCGAUGGUAUUUCUUCUAGCCUCUCUUGGUUGUCAGGCCCUUUAUCGGAUGUGGAGGGCAUAGAUUGCCUCGAUCUUCAACUUCUAUGAGGAUCCGGUGCUCAGACAAUGAGAGGGGUGUACUUCUCAAACUUUUGAGGAGGGCUCUUGGGUUAUCGCGAGCUCCUCUCGUGCCAAGGUAAGACACUUCUUGUUUCUUUACGCUCCUCGCAUCCCCACUUUCCUCCUCAGGGGUGGGGGAGGGGGUUCCCUCCAUU
This 663-nucleotide long non-coding RNA is filed under the name Phoenix dactylifera (date palm). RNAcentral describes it as "long non-coding RNA (PDAC_LNC015946)". Lineage: Eukaryota; Viridiplantae; Streptophyta; Magnoliopsida; Arecales; Arecaceae. The record is from RNAcentral.